This 517-nucleotide ribosomal RNA is filed under the name uncultured Bacteroidota bacterium. Its description in RNAcentral is "bacterial SSU rRNA". It matches the Rfam family "Bacterial small subunit ribosomal RNA", at positions 8 to 522 of the family's 1533-position model. Lineage: Bacteria; Pseudomonadati; Bacteroidota. The record is from RNAcentral.
AGAGUUUGAUCCUGGCUCAGGAUGAACGCUAGCGGCGGGCCUAAUACAUGCAAGUCGAACGGGAUUGGAGUAGCAAUAUUCCAUGAGAGUGGCGACCGGGUGCGUAACACGUAUGCAACCUACCUAAUACUGGGGUAUAGCCUCUCGAAAGAGAGAUUAAUCCCCCAUAAUACUGUGAAGAGGCAUCUCUUUACAUUUAAAGCUUCGGCGGUAUUAGAUGGGCAUGCGUCCUAUUAGCUAGUUGGUGAGGUAACGGCUCACCAAGGCUACGAUAGGUAGGGGGUCUGAGAGGAUGAUCCCCCACACUGGUACUGAAACACGGACCAGACUCCUACGGGAGGCAGCAGUAGGGAAUAUUGGUCAAUGGACGAAAGUCUGAACCAGCCACGCCGCGUGAAGGAUGAAGGCCCUAUGGGUUGUAAACUUCUUUUGUCAGGGAAAAAACCCCCAUACGUGUAUGGGGCUGAUUGUACCUGGAGAAUAAGGAUCGGCUAACUCCGUGCCAGCAGCCGCGGUA